Molecule: ribosomal RNA, 158 nt
Filed under: Bacillus velezensis
Lineage: Bacteria; Bacillati; Bacillota; Bacilli; Caryophanales; Bacillaceae
Description: partial 16S ribosomal RNA
Rfam family: Bacterial small subunit ribosomal RNA
Source: RNAcentral
UUAUCGGAGAGUUUGAUCCUGGCUCAGGACGAACGCUGGCGGCGUGCCUAAUACAUGCAAGUCGAGCGGACAGAUGGGAGCUUGCUCCCUGAUGUUAGCGGCGGACGGGUGAGUAACACGUGGGUAACCUGCCUGUGAGACUGGGAUAACUCCGGGAA